AGAGUUUGAUCCUGGCUCAGGAUGAACGCUGGCGGCGUGCCUAAUACAUGCAAGUCGAGCGAACAGAUGAGAAGCUUGCUUCUCUGAUGUUAGCGGCGGACGGGUGAGUAACACGUGGGUAACCUACCUAUAAGACUGGGAUAACUCCGGGAAACCGGGGCUAAUACCGGAUAAUAUAUUGAACCGCAUGGUUCAAUGUUGAAAGACGGUUUCGGCUGUCACUUAUAGAUGGACCCGCGCCGUAUUAGCUAGUUGGUAAGGUAACGGCUUACCAAGGCAACGAUACGUAGCCGACCUGAGAGGGUGAUCGGCCACACUGGAACUGGGACACGGUCCAGACUCCUACGGGAGGCAGCAGUAGGGAAUCUUCCGCAAUGGGCGAAAGCCUGACGGAGCAACGCCGCGUGAGUGAUGAAGGUCUUAGGAUCGUAAAACUCUGUUGUUAGGGAAGAACAAAUUUGUUAGUAACUGAACAAGUCUUGACGGUACCUAACCAGAAAGCCACGGCUAACUACGUG
RNAcentral lists this ribosomal RNA (518 nucleotides) under uncultured Staphylococcus sp. RNAcentral describes it as "bacterial SSU rRNA". It matches the Rfam family "Bacterial small subunit ribosomal RNA", at positions 8 to 507 of the family's 1533-position model. The record is from RNAcentral. Lineage: Bacteria; Bacillati; Bacillota; Bacilli; Caryophanales; Staphylococcaceae.